GAUGAGAUGUAUGUUAAAAUUUCCCAAAUAUAAUAGUGUUUGGUACAGCUGGCACAGCAAGCUAGAGAGAAGAUAAAUGAUUUUGACUGACACUUGACCAAUAUGUAAUCAGUACCAAGCUAGGGCUGGGUCAGGAUGUCUCUGGUUUGCUGAUUUCUGGGAAACAAUGUUCAAAUCAAGAUAAGAACUAGGUGUAAUCUUCUGUUUGUUGUAAGCCAGGGUAAUAUAUAAUGAACAGACGUGAGCCCAUAAUUCUGGAGCAGUUUGAAUGCUGCAAGACUCUGCUUCCCAGAUCAGAUUGGUGAGCCUCAGGAAUUCACAGCCGUCCAGGACAGUCGGUAGCAAACGUGAUAUAGUUCAACUGCCUGACUGGGGAAUGCUCAGGACCCCUUCACACCACAUCAACAUGGCUAGCUGAGUGGUAGCUCUUUGGUUGGGGGUGUACCGUGUGGUGAAUUCUGCUCCUUUUCUUAAAGGGACAGCAGCUAGCACAACACUUUAUAAACUUCAACUGUUCCUGCA
Molecule: long non-coding RNA, 522 nt
Organism: Mauremys reevesii (Reeves's turtle)
Lineage: Eukaryota; Metazoa; Chordata; Testudines; Geoemydidae
Exons: 2
Source: RefSeq, a predicted model, not a curated record